GAUUAUGGCUCAGGAUGAACGCUAGCUACAGGCUUAACACAUGCAAGUCGAGGGGCAGCAUAUGGUAGCUUGCUACUAAUGAUGGCGACCGGCGCACGGGUGAGUAACGCGUAUCCAACCUUCCCUAUACUAGAGGAUAGCCCGGCGAAAGUCGGAUUAAUACUCUAUGUUAUUCAAUGCGGACAUCUAAGUUGAAUCAAAGAUUUAUCGGUAUAGGAUGGGGAUGCGUCUGAUUAGGUUGUUGGCGGGGUAACGGCCCACCAAGCCUACGAUCAGUAGGGGUUCUGAGAGGAAGGUCCCCCACAUUGGAACUGAGACACGGUCCAAACUCCUACGGGAGGCAGCAGUGAGGAAUAUUGGUCAAUGGACGAGAGUCUGAACCAGCCAAGUAGCGUGCAAGGAUGACGGCCCUAUGGGUUGUAAACUGCUUUUAUACAGAGAUAAAGUGAGCCACGUGUGGUUUUUUGUAGGUACUGUAUGAAUAAGGACCGGCUAAUUCCGUGCCAGCAGCAGC
RNAcentral lists this ribosomal RNA (514 nucleotides) under uncultured bacterium. RNAcentral describes it as "bacterial SSU rRNA". It matches the Rfam family "Bacterial small subunit ribosomal RNA", at positions 15 to 518 of the family's 1533-position model. The record is from RNAcentral.